RNAcentral lists this ribosomal RNA (631 nucleotides) under Escherichia coli. RNAcentral describes it as "partial 23S ribosomal RNA". It matches the Rfam family "Bacterial large subunit ribosomal RNA", at positions 165 to 835 of the family's 2925-position model. The record is from RNAcentral. Lineage: Bacteria; Pseudomonadati; Pseudomonadota; Gammaproteobacteria; Enterobacterales; Enterobacteriaceae.
CAUAGGUUAAUGAGGCGAACCGGGGGAACUGAAACAUCUAAGUACCCCGAGGAAAAGAAAUCAACCGAGAUUCCCCCAGUAGCGGCGAGCGAACGGGGAGCAGCCCAGAGCCUGAAUCAGUGUGUGUGUUAGUGGAAGCGUCUGGAAAGGCGCGCGAUACAGGGUGACAGCCCCGUACACAAAAAUGCACAUACUGUGAGCUCGAUGAGUAGGGCGGGACACGUGGUAUCCUGUCUGAAUAUGGGGGGACCAUCCUCCAAGGCUAAAUACUCCUGACUGACCGAUAGUGAACCAGUACCGUGAGGGAAAGGCGAAAAGAACCCCGGCGAGGGGAGUGAAAAAGAACCUGAAACCGUGUACGUACAAGCAGUGGGAGCACAGAGCAAUCUGUGUGACUGCGUACCUUUUGUAUAAUGGGUCAGCGACUUAUAUUCUGUAGCAAGGUUAACCGAAUAGGGGAGCCGAAGGGAAACCGAGUCUUAACUGGGCGUUAAGUUGCAGGGUAUAGACCCGAAACCCGGUGAUCUAGCCAUGGGCAGGUUGAAGGUUGGGUAACACUAACUGGAGGACCGAACCGACUAAUGUUGAAAAAUUAGCGGAUGACUUGUGGCUGGGGGUGAAAGGCCAAUCA